Molecule: ribosomal RNA, 611 nt
Filed under: uncultured Bacteroidota bacterium
Lineage: Bacteria; Pseudomonadati; Bacteroidota
Description: bacterial SSU rRNA
Rfam family: Bacterial small subunit ribosomal RNA
Source: RNAcentral
GACAAUGGGCGGGAGCCUGAUCCAGCCAUGCCGCGUGCAGGAAGACUGCCCUAUGGGUUGUAAACUGCUUUUAUACAGGAAGAAUAAGCCUUACGUGUAAGGUGAUGACGGUACUGUAAGAAUAAGGACCGGCUAACUCCGUGCCAGCAGCCGCGGUAAUACGGAGGGUCCGAGCGUUAUCCGGAAUUAUUGGGUUUAAAGGGUCCGUAGGCGGAUGAUUAAGUCAGGGGUGAAAGUUUGCAGCUCAACUGUAAAAUUGCCUUUGAUACUGGUUAUCUUGAGUUGUAUUGAAGUAGGCGGAAUAUGUAGUGUAGCGGUGAAAUGCAUAGAUAUUACAUAGAACACCAAUUGCGAAGGCAGCUUACUAAGUACUAACUGACGCUGAUGGACGAAAGCGUGGGUAGCGAACAGGAUUAGAUACCCUGGUAGUCCACGCCGUAAACGAUGGAUACUAGCUGUUCGGGGCCUUGAGCUCUGAGCGGCUAAGCGAAAGUGAUAAGUAUCCCACCUGGGGAGUACGUUCGCAAGAAUGAAACUCAAAGGAAUUGACGGGGGCCCGCACAAGCGGUGGAGCAUGUGGUUUAAUUCGAUGAUACGCGAGGAACCUUACC